AUGGAGAUAGCACUUGGAAAUGCUGGGAAGAUUGGGCAGGAAGUUGCUUUUCAGCCAUUUAAAGGGAUGGAAUUCGACUCAGAGAAGGAUGCAUUCGAAUUUUUCAAUGCAUAUUUUUGGGAAAUUGGAUUUGGUAUCAAGCAUGGCAAUAAGUACAUCAACAAGCACGGAUUCAAGACAAAGCAGGACCUUUUGUGCUCAUGCGAGGGAACUCACAAAAAAUUCAACUCUAGGUCUAGCAGAACAAACUGCCCUGCUAUGGUUAGGUUGCUUUGCACCGACGACGACGGAUGGUACUAUGCAGAGGUGGUAUUAGAACACAACCACGAGUUGGCAGACAGUGUAGGUGAAAGAAAGUUAUGGAAGUGCCACAAGUACGUCAACGCAUCUAUGAAGGACAAUGUUAGGCACUUGCGUUCUAACAAUGUUUCACUGACCAAGGUAUAUGGGGUUAUGGCCGACAUUCAUUGUCAGAGUAAAUGA
This 483-nucleotide ribosomal RNA is filed under the name Triticum aestivum (bread wheat). RNAcentral describes it as "partial small subunit ribosomal RNA". The record is from RNAcentral. Lineage: Eukaryota; Viridiplantae; Streptophyta; Magnoliopsida; Poales; Poaceae.